GAUGAACGCUGGCGGCGUGCUUAACACAUGCAAGUCGAACGAAGCACUUUAUUUUAUUUCCUUCGGGACUGAUUAUUUUGUGACUGAGUGGCGGACGGGUGAGUAACGCGUGGGUAACCUGCCUUGUACAGGGGGAUAACAGUUGGAAACGGCUGCUAAUACCGCAUAAGCGCACAGCAUCGCAUGAUGCAGUUGGAAAAACUCCGGUGGUAUAAGAUGGAGCCGCGUUGGAUUAGCUAGUUGGUGGGGUAACGGCCCACCAAGGCGACGAUCCAUAGCCGACCUGGUAGGGUGACAGGCCACAUUGGGACUGCGACCCGGCCCACACUCCUACGGGAGGCAGCAGUGGGGAAUAUUGCACAAUGAGCGAAAGCCUAAUGCAGCGACGCCGCGUAAGCGAAGAAGUAUUUCGGUAUGUACAGCUCUAUCAGCAGGGAAGAUAAUGACGUUACCUGACUAAGAAGCACCGGCUAAAUACGUG
RNAcentral lists this ribosomal RNA (481 nucleotides) under uncultured bacterium. Its description in RNAcentral is "partial 16S ribosomal RNA". It matches the Rfam family "Bacterial small subunit ribosomal RNA", at positions 28 to 507 of the family's 1533-position model. The record is from RNAcentral.